UUCCGCAGUUUCCCAUACCAGCAUCCUGCUUCGCGAGAACUACUCUACGUUGUUCUGGGGGGCUUAGACGAACAUCUGAAUCCGAUAUUGAAGAAGUCUUGCAUCGAUGGACACUGACAAAAUAUAGGCAGACUCGUAUUUAUAAAGAAUUGGGAUAGAAAAUUGAUGGAGGCUCAGUACCAAAAAAAUUAUGAUGUUUGUUUAGGAAUUACUACUGUUUUGUUUAUCUGGAAUGUUGUGUGGGAGUCCAUCAGGAAUUGCUGGUCUGCAGUAAAUUUGUCAGGCUAGGUCAUGAACAUCAAUGAAUCAGAAAAUGUUUUGCAUGGGUGGUGAAUGUUCUGACAGUUUUAACAGUUGUGAUGUGGUGUAUUUCACUUCCACGUAUCAUGUAGAAGUUGGUGACCUGAUACAAUGAACAUGGAAAAAUCACCUUCGCCCACGUUGACGAUGAUACCUGUACCGAAGUGCUGGAAACUAAAAUUAAAUUUUCUUUACAAUUUGGUUUCAGGCUAUCUUUAUAAUUUUUUAAUAGUUUUGCAUAUGUUGAUGAGUCCGCAAGCUCUUAGCUGAUUUCCUCCUUUAGAUACCGCCUGUCGACGAUUUGACAGCCUCACACAAUUAAAGAACGCCAAAGUGAGCUCUUCCGAGCAGAAAAAUGACGGCGUAUCCAUUUAAUUGAAAAUAGGCAAAGAUAACGCGCAAUUCGCGUCCUUGUCUCAAUGGAGAAAUUUUGCCGUGGAGCUUAUAACCGAAAUACCAUUGCAGCUGUUCAAAAUAAGAAAAGUGUAUUAUCAUACAGAUGUUGACUAGCUAAUAAUCCAGAGAUACUUCAACUUGCGAAAUUUCUAGAUGUGUGUGAAGCGCAAUCAGCAUCCUUGUUGAACUGUGAGCUCAAAUCAUGUAUUUUCCUAGAAAUAUCUAGGUUUUUGGAUAAAUAAAUAAAAGA
Molecule: long non-coding RNA, 946 nt
Organism: Daphnia carinata
Lineage: Eukaryota; Metazoa; Arthropoda; Branchiopoda; Diplostraca; Daphniidae
Exons: 6
Source: RefSeq, a predicted model, not a curated record